CAUGAAUAUCCAAAUGACAAAACAAUUAUUUUUUACAUAUCAUAUUGUUCACCAUGGCUGGUAAUCACAAUUGUCUCAUUACUGUCUAUUGUUUGGAUCAUACUUCUCUCUUCCAACUUCAUAUCCAAUUCAACCUGUAGAAUUCUCAUUUCAUGUUCUUCCUUCAGAUAUUUCAUUUUAUGCUCAUGAAAUUCUCUGGUUAACGUUUCAUGCAUGGUCAUCUUCUUUGUUCUCUGCUGAAAGGUGGUGGCAGCAUCUUCUCUCAGGGAUGUUAUAGCAGAUGUGGAGGGUUCACACUCACUGUGUACUGGCUCUUCCAACCUGUUCACAUUACACCCUCACUGUGUACUGGCUCUUCCAACCUGUUCACAUUACACCCUCACUGUGAACUGGCUCUUCCAACCUGUUUACAUUACACCCUCACUGUGUACUGGCUCUUCCAACCUGUUUACAUUACACACUCACUGUGUACUGGCUCUUCCAACCUGUUCACAUUCCACCCUCACUGUGUACUGGCUCUUCCAACCUGUUCACAUUACACCCUCACUGUCUAUUGGCUCUUCCAACCUGUUCACAUUACACACUCACUGUCUACUGGCUCUUCCAACCUGUUCACAUUCCACCCUCACUGUGUACUGGCUCUUCCAACCUGUUCACAUUCCACCCUCACUGUGUACUGGCUCUUCCAACCUGUUCACAUUACACCCUCACUGUGUACUGGCUCUUCCAACCUGUUCACAUUACACCCUCACUGUCUACUGGCUCUUACAACCUGUUCACAUUCCUUUCCUCUGGAAAAAGAACACGGUUAGUGUUAAAGGAAUUUUAUAUCUUGAUGAUAAUAAUCAAUAAUCAAUUCGCCUUGACUAAUGCCCAAGGUUUGUAAGACAAUGGGUUAAAAUAAUUAGGAACUAAUCAGACUAAUCGAUCCCUACAUUGAUCAUUACAUUGAUUAUUCAUUAAACCUGCUGUAUGACUAAUAAUUCAUCAUGGUUUAUUGAUUCAUUUACAUUUAUUAGAUAAUUCUCUUAUCAAUUCCACCCUUAAAUGAUUCAAUAAUUCACCAUGAUAUGAUCAGAUGCUAUCUGAGAACCCUACUAAUCACACGCUAUAUGGAAAUACAUCACACGCUAUAUGGAAAUACAUCACACGCUAUAUGGAAAUACAUCACACGCUAUAUGGAAAUACAUCACACGCUAUAUGGAAAUACAUCACACGCUAUAUGGGAUCACAUAAUGAUUAUCACAUACUAUGAGUAUUCACUAACAAUCACAGGCUAUAUGGAAAUUCAUUGUGAUACCGGGAUUUAAACAAGUCCAAUACAUGAAUAUUCCUCCUAUUCUUCCAUUACUGUCCUAGGCCUAUUUCCAAUUAUGACACUUCUGUUCAGGAUUUUCAACAUAAUUUUCAUUAAAGGAACAGUCUAUCAAAACAUUGAAAAUUCUAUCUAAACGUUGAAAAUUGUUUCAUCAAACAUUGGCUCCUCGUUAUUGAAAGAAACGGAGCCAUCUUCCUGGCCUGGAGGCCCGCAUUCGCCAUCCCACUGAUCGGAGCUCGGAAUUGGUCCAUAUCUCACCAUCUGCUGCGUCAUCGAUCUCUCUAGAGUCCUGGUGAUUAAACCUCUCACACAUGGGACGAGACAACAUCCACACAACACAAACACACUCAUACAGGUGAAAGCAGCCCAUAAUACAGUUCUUACAACACUUUUCCAUUUCCCAAACAUGGGAUGUGUUAUCAGGAAUGUACGUGCAGCAAUGAACCUAAUCAUUCUACCUACACUGCCCUCUUCUGCCAGUAACAUAUCGAGAGUCAGUCUAUUUUACCAGGUCAUGAGGGAGGUGGCGGAUAAUUGGUCAGAGAACCUCUUUACUGCAUCCCCGUUUUCAUUCAUGAAUCUCUGUUGAUUAUAAAAAAAUGUCAUUAAUCCAAUCCACAUUUCUAUUUAUUGUCAACCACCAAAAUAAUGUAGUGUUAAAGCCUUCACAUAUUUGAUUCAUAGCUUUGUAUUCAUCUGGAACUUCCCUGAAGAUGCCAAUAGCAUCCAUCUAGACAAAGCUACUCCCAUCCUGGUCAAAACUCCUCCUGUGCCUACUUUAGCCUCCUAUAACUGGCCUCUGAUGACUAAUUCGAACUGGUUGGACCAAUAACCCCAGGGCGCAAGUUUCUAACCACCCUUUGUGGUAAUUUCUGUCAUAUGCGUCCUUUACUGGUACUAGCCCACCCUUCAUCAGUUAUAGGUGCUGUGAGGUUAAGAAUGUUCUAUUCAUCUCUCAAACCUAAGUCAGUCACAUUACCAAUUACCUUUCAGUCAUUAAAAUCAUCUUAGUUCUCGGUGCCAUUCUUGUAUCUAUAACACUGGUGCUCAUCAGGAAUUUAGGUGAACCGAGGUGGGUUGGCUGAAUACUUCAAUCUGGCCAACCCCAAUUCCUGUACAGUUGUCUGCUUCCCCAGGAACUUGUUUAAUGUUUACCUAAAAUUCGACAUCUUUUUCUUCUUUGACUCCUUAUUCUGUAAGUCACUCAUCAGUGUAUUAUAUAGUUUAUCUUCUACUUCUUCUCAAUGACAACGGUAUCCUAUGAUUAGUACCGGAAGGUGGUGGAUCUGAAUGUAUCAGAAAGGUUACCAAACUAUGAUGCAGCUCAGAGUCUCUACUCUUCCCAAAAACCGCCAACCCUCUCCUGCCCUUAGUCUCUCUGCUUGGUACCACCCCAUACUCACACCUCUAGGAGCACACACAGUGAUGAACGGUUGGGAUAGGAAAUCUUCGUUAAGGAGGUAACCCCCGGACCCUGUUGGUAUCGGUUCUUCUCCUAACUCUGUGUGUGAUCAGCAGUGGAUAUGUGUACAUACCUCCUUGCAGUGGGUAACGUGGACCCAAGUGACUCUUUCAGCUUUUCUAAUGACAAAGGCAGUGGUUUAACAGAACCUGGUAUGGGCCUUCCCAACGGGGCUGCUUCCUGUCUUUUCUCCUCAGGGACUGGAUCCACACCCAGUCUCCUGGUUGGAUUGAGUGAAUCACCUUCUCCUAUAAUUCACCUGUUGGACACAAAAUCUUGGACAUACGGGUUUGGUUAACAAACAGUCUUCUCAUGUGCUCUGCUAGUAUUUCUUCAACUUCUAUGUCUACCUGUUCUGGUAUCUCUAACUCUGGCAUUCUAUAGGCUCUACCUGAUUAGCUAAACUGUCAUCCAUCAUUUAAAGAGAUGGCUCCUAGUAAACCAACAUUAGGGAUAAUAUCUUUACCUAAUAUUUUAGCUACCAUAAUCAUGUCCACCAAGUAAGUUGGGAACGCUUCUACCCAUUUGCUAUACUUAUCUAUUCUUGUUAAACACCCCUUCUUCCCCUCAAUUCGGAAUAGUUCAAUAAGUCCAAUUCCAAAUGUUGGAAUGGAUCUUCUUACAAUUUUUUUUAUUUUUUAUUUAAGUAAUUAUCCUCUAGGCCAUCACUCUUUCCUAACUACUCUACUAUACUUCCCUCCCCUUGAUACAUUGCUUAGCCUAUGUAUCAAUAUUGCUGCGUAUCCAUACAAUGUCUUUGGUAGGAUAAGUAAAUUAUCCUUCUGUCAGACCUUCUCUUAUAGAAUGCCCCCUUUCAUUUUCCACAUGUCCAAUUCUCCCUGGGGCAUUCAUCCUCGGCUAUUCUGUAACAAUUCUCUGUCAAGUGUUUUAUCUUCUUUAAGAUGUAUCUAUGCUGCUUUGUAUGGUUUUAAAUGUCUAUGUGCUUGUCUGUGUAAAUAGUAACUUUUCUCUCCUUUCUUAUUUCACCGGUUCUAGUCAAUGCUACUAUUUCGGCCUACUGUGCAGAAUAGUGUCUGGGCAAUGGUUCAGUGUCUAACACCUGAAACCAACUACGCCCUUUUAGUUAAGGUAACAAUUACUUUCAACAAAAUUAUCAUAUCUCCUCCUAGCGAAUUUACCAAACAUAAAAUUAAAAUCAAAACUAAAAUACAUGCCUAUGGAGCCGAUAGUCUCUCCAUGAAUUAAUAUCCUAAAGCUAAGUGAACCAAAUUCUCUUCCUAUCUACUCCUGCUGGCCCCCUCCUUUCUUCCUGCUACUCCCCAACCCUCAAGGUUUCAGCAGUGCAGGGGAGGAUCUCUCUGUCUGCCCUUCUAUCUGUCUCCAGCUUUUUUUUUUGUUCUAACAGAAAGUAUCAAAUAUGGGUUGUUUCCAAAUAUUGACUAAAUGUCUCAUUGUCUCCUUGGUUGCACUCCUGAACUUUAGAAAAAUCAACAUGUCUAGAUAUUGCAUAUCUACUUAAAUUUAUCUCAAUACCCUCAAUAAUCCUGGAUCGCCUACAGAUGUCAUAUAUCCCUGUCCUGUUGACAUGUCUACCAUUAUUAAACCUAUUCACCACAAAAUAUAGUAAUACUAGUAUAUCAAUUCCACAGCCUUGUUGUGUUAAAUCUCUUACACUGAAUUCAACAACAGCUGACUUCCUAAGGAAAAAUAAACUUAUCUAGAUAAUGUAAAAAAUACCCCUGCUACUGGUCAAAAUAUUUUCAAAUAACAUAAUCAGAUCAAAAUGACUAAUCUGAUUUACUCCACCAAGAAAAAUUAUUUUACCCUUAAUGUUCUAGGAAAAUAGACUUAAGGAAGCCUACCCUUAGUCUAAGGCUUUGCCCUUUUAGUCCUAUCAUUGGUUCAAAUUAUCAAUUGUGUCUAAGAGCUUUAACUCCAUCAUAAUUAUCAGUUCUACAAAUUCCCUUAAAAUCAAUAUCACCAAUGACCUUAAAUUCACCAUCCAAAUGGCUUUUCAAUGUGGCUGAUCAGACCACACAGGGAAGCCACUAGAGGGGUCAAAAAGUCAUACCACCCUUUCAGAACCGUGUUUCUUACUACAUUAAACAAAUUAAGGCUUAGAACUUCAUCUACAUUUUGUAUCCCAGGUUCCCAGAACAUUCCCUAUCAAAAGAAUUUCAUGUGUUUAUUAAAACUUCAGAAAACAACAUUUCCAAAAUGCCGUGUGUAUACCCCUUUAAGAUAUCAUGUCCCUAGGAAUUUUUUAUUUAUUUAUUUUUUCCAAAGAGAGCUAAGCGCUUCUUUUUCCAUAAAAUAACCACUUGGUCAGCGUUUCAUCCUACCACCCUGAUUCAGAAACCCCAAAGUUGACUAUAAACAAAACCUAAUAAUACUUAUAAUUCCAUUGUACUCCCCCCCAUCAUUAGUUUUAAACUUCCUCAAUGGUUUAUGUGAUUGAACAUGCCUUUCUGUGGGUGCCUGACCUCUCUGUAUUUGUCUCGACCCCCUCUCUGGCCUCUCUUACUUCCCUCAGAUCCCGAGGUUCUGUUUGGUGGCACGAUUUAUCUCGGGACGCAUUCCACUGAGGAAAGCAAUUUUUAAUUGCUGAUAAUACGGGGCAUCAAAUCCAUCCACUACCGGGGGUUCUAUUAACCCACUAUUAGCGUUGGACACGUCCUUUAAUCUCUCUAGGUAUUGGUUUAUAGUCUUAUGAAAUGUCCAAGGGUUUAAAAAAUAUAUAAUGUAUAUCGCCACAAUUCUGUCGCAAUUAUUAAUUUCCGCUCCUUAUAAUUCAUUAGAUUUAAGUAACUGCCUUUUCCUUGAUUCCGUCAUUCAAAUACAACUCCCAUUCUCUAUAAAUCCUUUAAGCAGGCCAUUUAGACCACAAACAACGUACUUCAUCGAAUUCGCCUCGCUAUUAUUUUGAAAGAAUCUGUCUUCCUAUUUAAACUAAACAAGCUAUCAAAACAUUCGGUUUCUAUCUUAAACAAACACUAACAACCGUAUCGUUCCAGCCAAAACAUAACAAGAAUUACAUUUAAUUUUAGUCCCAUGGGCUGGGAUCCAAACACGGGUCCCCCGCAUGGCAGGCAAGAAUUCUACCACUGAACCACAAUGCUAUUGUUCAUGUUUACAAUUUCGGUAGUUGUGUCCUACUCGGUCACAAUGUGCACAGGGUGUUUUACAGUCUCUGGCGAAAUGUCCUGUUCUAUCGCAAUUAAAACACAUCUCUCCGUCUUUGUCAGCGCGUCUCCCUGUUUUUCCCCUUCUGUCUACAGAGUCUCUUCUCCUCCCCGCUAUUUCCCCUAGGGUUGCUAUCAGGUACUCUGCUUUUUUCUGUUCUUUUUUAAUUCUGUUGUUUUUACCAUGCUGCUCAUAGUGAACGGCAUAUCUCUUCACCUCUGUCAGAGUUGCUAUUCCCCAUCCUACUAGAGUCCUUUUUAUGGCACGACUUAUCUCUGGGCGCAUUCCACUGAGGAAAGCUAUUUUCAGUUGCUGGUGAUAUGCUGUAUCGUUCCCCUGGGCUACCGGUGGCUCUAUUAACCCACUGUUGGCAUUGAAUACCUCCUUUAAUCUCUCUAGGUAUUGACUUAUAGUCUCAUUGUCUUCUUGUUUACAUUCGUGGACCUUAUAGAAAUCUGCAAGUCGGUGAUAGUGGUCCCUCAGAUUAUUACACAGCUGUGUGAUUUUCUCGACAUACUGUCCAUCUAUCGCCCAGGGCAAUACCACCAAAUCAUUAUGUCCAGGUACCCACUGUCCCCGGACCGCUGCCCAGUCCUUCCCCACCAGCUGUCUUACUGCUCUCUCAAUUUCCCCUGUGUCUAGCUUAAAGCUGGCUGCUAGACCUUCCAGAUCUCUUCUGAACCCUUCUAUACCUGUCUUAGGAUGCACUACACCCUCUACGGCUCGAACCACAUCUCUCUGUGUCCAUGCCCUGUAUACAUCCAGAGUGGCCUGUGCCCCAUCAUCCCCAGCCCGUGGGUUUAGCAAUGCUAUCAUAGGGUACUGGCCACUCUCUCCAUCCUCUCUCAACUUCAGUAGCUCCUCUCUCUCCUUACCCUGUUCUUCCAGCAGCCUUCUCAGGGCUUUGACUGCCCUGUCCUCUUCACUAUCUACAUGUCUAUGUUCUACCAUUAACUCUAGCUUUUCUACAUCUAAACGUCCAUCAAAUUCAUACUUAUUUCUCCAUUUUGGGUCAAAAUAAAUGUUCCUUUUAUCCUUGGAUUGAAUAUAUCUCUCAUAUAUCUCUCUUAAUUCCGGGACCUCCUUUGAGGAUUUACCACCCAUAUUAUUCAAUUGCUUUCCUUGUUAUUAUGCUUAUUCUCACAAUCUAUGGGUGUGCUUUUAUUCUAUAUUUUUAAUAGUCCCUGACUACUUCCCAUAUACCCCUAAUAGUCCCAGACUAUUUCCCAUAUAUUUUGAAUAGACCCAGACUACUUCCCAUAUAUUUUUAGUAGUCCCAGACUACAUCCCAUAUCUUUUGAAUAGUCCCAGACUAUAUCGAUACGGGGUAGUUUUUUUUUUAGUAAUGGCCUCAACUACUACGAGUCAUUACGGACCCGUCCGUUUCCGAAUAGUCCCAGACUACUUCCUAUAUUUAAAAUCCUCCCUCACCUUUAUCUUGACCAAUGCUUUAUAGGAAUUUUUAGUAAGUUUAGAAUUUAACCCCAAAAUAAUGAAUAAAGAUUACUGACCUUAUCUUGCAGCUGAGAAUUCAAUGUUCGUUGAAUCUCGUCACCACCUCUGUCGCGUACCAGUUUGCCACCGGCCUGUAAAGAACCCACAGAAAAGGGCCAGGUCUUUGAUUUACGGAUAUUUCAUCCGCCCGUGCACGGUUUCAGUGUCUCCUUGGAACGACAGCGGCAGUUUUUGAGAUCCCGGUCGAAAGGACCAAUUGUUAAAGGAAUUUUAUAUCUUGAUGAUAAUAAUCAAUUCGCCUUGACUAAUGCCCAAGGUUUGUAAGACAAUGGGUUAAAAUAAUUAGGCAAGGACUCAGCUUUCUGCAAAAGGUUUCCGUAGCUUUAUUCAUGAGAACGUUCUGAGGUCAGGAUAACAAAACAGUCAUUAUAUAGUUCUUGCUUACUUACGCACAUGCAUUUACACACAAACUGUUGGUGACCUGCAUCCCCCAUAAACUUCUCACACUGUUUAUCACUAUCCAGAGCUCAGCCUGUUCUUUUCCCUCAAGGUUAGGAACUCUUUGAAGCUUUUACUCCCUUGACCAUCUGCCCCUCUAUCUCUC
Molecule: long non-coding RNA, 7983 nt
Filed under: Salmo salar (Atlantic salmon)
Lineage: Eukaryota; Metazoa; Chordata; Actinopteri; Salmoniformes; Salmonidae
Description: lncRNA (ENSSSAG00000117099.1)
Source: RNAcentral